AACGAACGCUGGCGGCGUGCCUAACACAUGCAAGUCGAACGGAAUUAGAGAGCUUGCUCUUUAAUUUAGUGGCGCACGGGUGAGUAACGCGUAGAUAAUCUGCCUGGUGAUCUGGGAUAACACUUCGAAAGAGGUGCUAAUACCGGAUAAGCCCACGGGAACUUUGGUUCUUGCGGGAAAAGGGGGGGACCUUCGGGCCUUCUGUCAUCAGAUGAGUCUGCGUACCAUUAGCUAGUUGGUAGGGUAAUGGCCUACCAAGGCGACGAUGGUUAGCUGGUCUGAGAGGAUGAGCAGCCACACUGGAACUGAGACACGGUCCAGACUCCUACGGGAGGCAGCAGUGGGGAAUUUUGCGCAAUGGGCGAAAGCCUGACGCAGCAACGCCGCGUGAGUGAUGAAGGCUUUCGGGUCGUAAAGCUCUGUCAAUGGGAAAGAAGUGUAUUGUGGCUAAUAUCCACGAUACUUGACGGUACCCAUAAAGGAAGCACCGGCUAACUCCGUGCCAGCCGCCGCCGUAA
RNAcentral lists this ribosomal RNA (518 nucleotides) under uncultured bacterium. RNAcentral's name for it is "partial 16S ribosomal RNA". It matches the Rfam family "Bacterial small subunit ribosomal RNA", at positions 29 to 523 of the family's 1533-position model. The record is from RNAcentral.